AAUUGAUCUAGUUAUUUUAGCUGGACCUGGCAACCCUUCUCGUUUGGUACUUGGCUAUUCCCCAGUCGAAUCGAAGCAUGUUGACCCAUUUAAAGAGACUACAUUUCAGUUUUGUCUGCGUGCAGUAGGGACUUUGUCAAGUUAAUGGACAUGACCAAGGCAACUAGAAUUCAGUUCAGUAACAAUAUCAACCAAACUGGGAAAUGUCAAAACGCAGGGAGAGCGCCAUGUCACGGUCAGCGUUAACAAGGGAGCUCUUGGGCCAGUACAUCUCAGACACCCUCAGCCACAUUCACACAGUGAGGGAGUUCUGUGACAGGCAUUCCAAAUGGGCCCUUCAGAGGGAGACAGAACUGGAAAUGAUGAGGGACAUCAAGGAGAGGGCAGACAGAAUUGACCUUAAGUUCGACCAUGUCCGUAACUCAGCGACCAAGGCCAAGGCGUUUGGGGAGUUCGUAUGGAGCGGUCUGACACAGGGGACUGCAGACAGUAGGCGUGAGGAGCUGGAGAAGGAGCUGGGGGCUGUACUAAAGGACACUCUGGGAGGCCUGGAGAAGCUGGAUUACUUCCUGGAUGCUGUGGAGUGUCUGGCGGUCACCUGUCUGUUGGUGUUUGAGGAGAACAGCUUCCUCUGUCUGCCUCAGGGGACGAGCCCUGCCAGUGUUCAGGCUGUCAUCAUUGCUGCCAGAAUCCUGCCCUCUCCUCAUCCACUUUAAGAGGGAUGCUAAGGCCUUCUUUAUGCCCAACCUCCUCAAUGUAGAGGUGCUGGCCCUCCAGCUGGACAGAUACAUACAAAUCAGCCAGCAGCUCUGUAAAAUAAUGGAGAAGGGAUUACAGAUCAGACAACAGCCUGAGAGUAAACUUGGCUCCAUCAGUCAAAUUAUGUUUUGGAAAAAGAGGAAUGACAUCCCUGUGGUCAACCUUGGUGAUGUGAGUGAAGAGUCCAUACAAAAUAUGAUGGACCAUUUGAAUCAGCUGAGUGAGAUCAGGAUGGACCCGCACGUCAUACUAACGUUCCUGUUUCAAGGGGCUGCUCAGCGCUUCAUUUGCCGGUUCAGCCAGCGCCGACCCAGGAUGGAGCAGUUUCUGACCGAUCUGGAGGAGAAUGCUGUGCAGCUGGACAGAAUGAAGCUGGGGGCUAAGAUCUCCAGUGUGGCAGGCAGCUCAGUGGGGGCGGCUGGAGGGAUCCUAUCCAUCGUGGGCUUAGCUCUGACCCCUGUCACUGCUGGGGUGUCACUGGCUCUCACCAUUGCAGGGGUCAGCCUGGGGGUCACCAGUGGGGUCAACAGUUUAACUACUGGUAUCACAGAGAUGAAGGUCAAUAGCAUCCAUGAGAAGAAAGCUAGAGAAGUCUUCCAGAGUUUCAUGGAGGACGUGGAGAGUCUCCAGGAGUGUCUGGAGGAUGUGGCCAUGAAUAUGGAGCCCAUCUUGGGGCAGAGCAGGGUGAACAUGGUUGGAGCAAGGAAGGUGAUUGCCACCACUUGGACCAUCGGAAAACACAUUGACUCCCUAGUUGACCUUUCCUCAGGUUUUAAGUCAGCAGAAGUCCUUAGAAACAAAGAUCUGAUCACAAGCGCUGGUAAGUUGGCGCUCCACGAAGGCAAAGUAGCACAAAACCUGCCCAAGCUAGUCGAGGACAUCCCGGAAUUUGGACAGCUGGCAAAAGGCACCCGACUAGCCCUCUCCAAGUCAGCGCGGGCUGGCCUCAUCACCCUCAACGUCCUCUUCAUUGGCCUGGAUGUCUUCUUCAUCUGUAAAGACAGCGUCAGCCUGGCCAAAGGCAGCAGUAGUGAGAGAUCCCAGCUCAUCCGUGCCAGAUCAGCGUUGUGGCGCACAGAGAUGGACUCCUGGCAGAGGAUCCAUGACUCGCUGUGUAGAGGUCUAUUAACAUUUGAGAAAAGUCAGAUCAUCCUGGAGCAGCCAUUUUAUCCUCUGGAGGAGAAGCUGAGAGGGAAGAAAUCGAUGUGUAUGACGCAGUAGGACAAUAUAAAUGACUUAACAGUCUUUGAAGUUAGGGCCUCUCAAACAUACUGUACCGUGGCACUUAGAAUGUUCAGAAAGUAAAAAGUAAAAAUAAAGAGGUGAUACACUUUU
This is an RNA transcript of Salmo salar (Atlantic salmon), 2094 nucleotides long. RefSeq lists it as uncharacterized. The record is from RefSeq and is a predicted model, not a curated record. Lineage: Eukaryota; Metazoa; Chordata; Actinopteri; Salmoniformes; Salmonidae.